This 460-nucleotide ribosomal RNA is filed under the name uncultured bacterium. RNAcentral describes it as "partial 16S ribosomal RNA". It matches the Rfam family "Bacterial small subunit ribosomal RNA", at positions 338 to 795 of the family's 1533-position model. The record is from RNAcentral.
CCUACGGGGUGCAGCAGUGAGGAAUAUUGGUCAAUGGACGAGAGUCUGAACCAGUCAAGUAGCGUGAAGGAUGACUGCCCUAUGGGUUGUAAACUUCUUUUAUAUGGGAAUAAAAUGUUCCACGUGUGGGAUUUUGUAUGUACCAUAUGAAUAAGGAUCGGCUAACUCCGUGCCAGCAGCCGCGGUAAUACGGAGGAUCCGAGCGUUAUCCGGAUUUAUUGGGUUUAAAGGGAGCGUAGGUGGAUUGUUAAGUCAGUUGUGAAAGUUUGCGGCUCAACCGUAAAAUUGCAGUUGAAACUGGCAGUCUUGAGUACAGUAGAGGUGGGCGGAAUUCGUGGUGUAGCGGUGAAAUGCUUAGAUAUCACGAAGAACUCCGAUUGCGAAGGCAGUUCACUGGACUGCAACUGACACUGAGGCUCGAAAGUGUGGGUAUCAAACAGGAUUAGAUACCCCUGUAGUC